GCGGAAGUGGCUCAGUUGGUAGAGCAUCACCUUGCCAAGGUGAGGGUCGCGGGUUCGAGUCCCGUCUUCCGCU
This is a transfer RNA of Thermobispora bispora DSM 43833, 73 nucleotides long. It matches the Rfam family "tRNA". Rfam says of the family: Transfer RNA (tRNA) molecules are approximately 80 nucleotides in length. Their secondary structure includes four short double-helical elements and three loops (D, anti-codon, and T loops). Lineage: Bacteria; Bacillati; Actinomycetota; Actinomycetes; Streptosporangiales; Streptosporangiaceae. The record is from Rfam.